AUUGAACGCUGGCGGCAGGCUUAACACAUGCAAGUCGAACGAGUGGCGGACGGGUGAGUAAUGUCUGGGAAACUGCCUGAUGGCGGGGGAUAACUACUGGAAACGGUAGCUAAUACCGCAUACCAUCGGAUGUGCCCAGAUGGGAUUAGCUAGUAGGUGGGUUAAAGGCUCACCUAGGCGACGAUCCCUAGCUGGUCUGAGAGGAUGACCAGACAGACUGGAACUGAGACACGGUCCAGACGACUACGGGAGGCAGCAGUGGGGAAUAGUGCACAGUGGGCGCAAGCCUGAUGCAGCCAUGCCGAGUGGAUGAAGAAGGCCUUAGGGUUGUAAAGGACUUGCAGCGGGGAGGCGUUACCCGCAGAAGAAGCACCGGCGAACUCCGGGUCAGCAGCCGCGGGAAUUC
RNAcentral lists this ribosomal RNA (406 nucleotides) under uncultured bacterium. RNAcentral's name for it is "partial 16S ribosomal RNA". It matches the Rfam family "Bacterial small subunit ribosomal RNA", at positions 29 to 526 of the family's 1533-position model. The record is from RNAcentral.